RNAcentral lists this transfer RNA (73 nucleotides) under Salmo salar (Atlantic salmon). It matches the Rfam family "tRNA". Rfam says of the family: Transfer RNA (tRNA) molecules are approximately 80 nucleotides in length. Their secondary structure includes four short double-helical elements and three loops (D, anti-codon, and T loops). Further hydrogen bonds mediate the characteristic L-shaped molecular structure. tRNAs have two regions of fundamental functional importance: the anti-codon, which is responsible for specific mRNA codon recognition, and the 3' end, to which the tRNAs corresponding amino acid is attached (by aminoacyl-tRNA synthetases). tRNAs cope with the degeneracy of the genetic code in two manners: having more than one tRNA (with a specific anti-codon) for a particular amino acid; and 'wobble' base-pairing, i.e. permitting non-standard base-pairing at the 3rd anti-codon position. Lineage: Eukaryota; Metazoa; Chordata; Actinopteri; Salmoniformes; Salmonidae. The record is from Rfam by way of RNAcentral.
GGCUCCAUACCUCAGGGGUUAGCGCACUGGUCUUGUAAACCAGGGGUCGUGAGUUCGAUUCUCACUGGGGCCU